UACGUAGGGCGCAAGCGUUAUCCGGAAUUAUUGGGCGUAAAGAGCUCGUAGGCGGUUUGUCGCGUCUGCCGUGAAAGUCCGGGGCUCAACUCCGGAUCUGCGGUGGGUACGGGCAGACUAGAGUGAUGUAGGGGAGACUGGAAUUCCUGGUGUAGCGGUGAAAUGCGCAGAUAUCAGGAGGAACACCGGUGGCGAGGGCGGGUCUCUGGGCCGAUACUGACGCUGAGGAGCGAAAGCGUGGGGAGCGAACAGG
Molecule: ribosomal RNA, 253 nt
Filed under: uncultured bacterium
Lineage: Bacteria
Description: partial 16S ribosomal RNA
Rfam family: Bacterial small subunit ribosomal RNA
Source: RNAcentral